Molecule: ribosomal RNA, 253 nt
Filed under: uncultured bacterium
Lineage: Bacteria
Description: partial 16S ribosomal RNA
Rfam family: Bacterial small subunit ribosomal RNA
Source: RNAcentral
UACGUAUGGUGCAAGCGUUAUCCGGAUUUACUGGGCGUAAAGGGAGCGCAGGCGGCGCGCCAAGUCUGAUGUGAAACCCCGGGGCUCAACCCCGGGCAUGCAUUGGAAACUGGCGGGCUGGAGUGCCGGAGAGGUAAGCGGAAUUCCUAGUGUAGCGGUGAAAUGCGUAGACAUUAGGAGGAACACCAGUGGCGAAGGCGGCUUACUGGACGGCAACUGGCGCUGAGGCUCGAAAGCGUGGGGAGCAAACAGG